This 263-nucleotide ribosomal RNA is filed under the name uncultured archaeon. RNAcentral's name for it is "partial 16S ribosomal RNA". It matches the Rfam family "Archaeal small subunit ribosomal RNA", at positions 748 to 1009 of the family's 1478-position model. The record is from RNAcentral.
UAGCCGUAAACGAUACUCGCUAGGUGUCGGCCACGGUGCGACCGUUGUCGGUGCCGUAGGGAAGCCGUGAAGCGAGCCACCUGGGAAGUACGGCCGCAAGGCUGAAACUUAAAGGAAUUGGCGGGGGAGGCACCACAACGGGUGGAGCUUGCGGUUUAAUUUGGAUUCAACGCCGGAAAUCUUACCGGGACCGACAGCAACAUGAAGGCCAGGCUGAAGACUUUGCCGGAUUAGCUGAGAGGAGGUGCAUGGCGUAGUCGUGU